Molecule: ribosomal RNA, 432 nt
Filed under: uncultured bacterium
Lineage: Bacteria
Description: bacterial SSU rRNA
Rfam family: Bacterial small subunit ribosomal RNA
Source: RNAcentral
UGGCGGACGGGUGAGUAAUGCGUGGGAAUCUGUCUUUUAGUGGGGGACAACCCAGGGAAACUUGGGCUAAUACCGCAUGAGCCCUGAGGGGGAAAGCGGGGGAUCUUCGGACCUCGCGCUAAGAGAGGAGCCUACGUCCGAUUAGCUAGUUGGCGGGGUAAAGGCCCACCAAGGCGACGAUCGGUAGCUGGUCUGAGAGGACGACCAGCCACACUGGGACUGAGACACGGCCCAGACUCCUACGGGAGGCAGCAGUGGGGAAUUUUUCGCAAUGGGGGCAACCCUGACGAAGCAAUGCCGCGUGGAUGAAGAAGGCCUUCGGGUUGUAAAGUCCUUUCGUGGAGGACGAAAAGGUGGGUUCUAAUACAAUCUGCUAUUGACGUGAAUCCAAGAAGAAGCACCGGCUAACUCCGUGCCAGCAGCCGCGGUAAU